Molecule: ribosomal RNA, 389 nt
Filed under: uncultured Chrysophyceae
Lineage: Eukaryota; Chrysophyceae
Description: partial small subunit ribosomal RNA
Rfam family: Eukaryotic small subunit ribosomal RNA
Source: RNAcentral
GCUUGUCUCAAAGAUUAAGCCAUGCAUGUCUCAGUAUAAGUUCCUGUACGGCGAAACUGCGAAUGGCUCAUUAAAACAGUUACAGUUUAAUUGAUGGUCGUUCCUUACAUGGAUAACUGUGGUAAUUCUAGAGCUAAUACAUGCAUAAAACCCUAACUUCUGGAAAGGGUGUAUUUAUUAGAUGGAAACCAAUGCGGGGUAACCCGGAAUAUGGUGAUUCAUAAUAACUUUCGGAUCGAUUUAUCGAUGCAUCAUUCAAGUUUCUGCCCUAUCAGCUUUGGAUGGUAGGGUAUUGGCCUACCAUGGCUUUAACGGGUAACGGAGAAUUAGGGUUCGAUUCCGGAGAGGGAGCCUGAGAAACGGCUACCACAUCCAAGGAAGGCAGCAGG